GCCUGGCUGGCUCAGUCGUUGGAGUAUGUGACUCUUGAUCUCAGAGUUGUGAGUUCAAGCCCCAUGUUGGGUG
Molecule: transfer RNA, 73 nt
Filed under: Ailuropoda melanoleuca (giant panda)
Lineage: Eukaryota; Metazoa; Chordata; Mammalia; Carnivora; Ursidae
Rfam family: tRNA
About the family: Transfer RNA (tRNA) molecules are approximately 80 nucleotides in length.
Source: Rfam by way of RNAcentral